GAUGAACGCUGGCGGCGUGCUUAACACAUGCAAGUCGAACGGAGUGCCUUUGAAAGAGGAUUCGUCCAAUUGAUAAGGUUACUUAGUGGCGGACGGGUGAGUAACGCGUGAGGAACCUGCCUUGGAGUGGGGAAUAACACAGUGAAAAUUGUGCUAAUACCGCAUAAUGCAGUUGGGUCGCAUGACUCUGACUGCCAAAGAUUUAUCGCUCUGAGAUGGCCUCGCGUCUGAUUAGCUAGUUGGUGGGGUAACGGCCCACCAAGGCGACGAUCAGUAGCCGGACUGAGAGGUUGGCCGGCCACAUUGGGACUGAGACACGGCCCAGACUCCUACGGGAGGCAGCAGUGGGGAAUAUUGGGCAAUGGGCGCAAGCCUGACCCAGCAACGCCGCGUGAAGGAAGAAGGCUUUCGGGUUGUAAACUUCUUUUCUUAGGGACGAAGCAAGUGACGGUACCUAAGGAAUAAG
RNAcentral lists this ribosomal RNA (466 nucleotides) under uncultured bacterium. RNAcentral describes it as "bacterial SSU rRNA". It matches the Rfam family "Bacterial small subunit ribosomal RNA", at positions 28 to 490 of the family's 1533-position model. The record is from RNAcentral.